This 470-nucleotide ribosomal RNA is filed under the name uncultured bacterium. RNAcentral describes it as "bacterial SSU rRNA". It matches the Rfam family "Bacterial small subunit ribosomal RNA", at positions 8 to 494 of the family's 1533-position model. The record is from RNAcentral.
AGAGUUUGAUCAUGGCUCAGGACGAACGCUGGCGGCGUGCUUAACACAUGCAAGUCGAACGGAAAGGCCCUUCGGGGUGCUCGAGUGGCGAACGGGUGAGUAACACGUGGGUGAUCUGCCCUGCACUUUGGGAUAAGCCUGGGAAACUGGGUCUAAUACCGAAUAUGACUACAUGCUUCCUGGUGUGUGGUGGAAAGCUUUUGCGGUGUGGGAUGGGCCCGCGGCCUAUCAGCUUGUUGGUGGGGUAAUGGCCUACCAAGGCGACGACGGGUAGCCGGCCUGAGAGGGUGACCGGCCACACUGGGACUGAGAUACGGCCCAGACUCCUACGGGAGGCAGCAGUGGGGAAUAUUGCACAAUGGGCGCAAGCCUGAUGCAGCGACGCCGCGUGAGGGAUGACGGCCUUCGGGUUGUAAAGCCUCUUUCAGCACAGACGAAGCGUGAGUGACGGUAUGUGCAGAAGAAGACCG